Small nucleolar RNA from Vicia villosa (hairy vetch), 107 nucleotides. Lineage: Eukaryota; Viridiplantae; Streptophyta; Magnoliopsida; Fabales; Fabaceae. The record is from RefSeq and is a predicted model, not a curated record.
AGGCCAUGAUGUGGACAAGAUCUCAAUAGUUCUUUAUAUCUUUCCAAAGCUUCAAAAAGUGAUUCUCCUUGAUUUUGAGUAAAUCGGGUGAUCUGAUUUCAAAGGAC